This 513-nucleotide ribosomal RNA is filed under the name uncultured archaeon. RNAcentral's name for it is "bacterial SSU rRNA". It matches the Rfam family "Archaeal small subunit ribosomal RNA", at positions 341 to 856 of the family's 1478-position model. The record is from RNAcentral.
GGGAAUCUUUUACAAUGCGCGCAAGCGUGAUAAAGCGAGCCAAAGUGUUUCUUUUUUAAGAAACUUUUGCCAGCUGUAAAAAGGCUGGCGAAUAAGGACUGGGCAAGACCGGUGCCAGCCGCCGCGGUAAUCCCGGCAGUCCAAGUCGCAGCCACAAUUAUUGGGUCUAAAACAUCCGUAGCUUGCUUAAGAAGUUCCUUGUGAAAUCUUAAAUCUUAAAUUUAAGGUGUGCAAGGAAUACUCUUGAGCUAGAGACCGGCAGGCGUAAGAAGUACAGUGGGGGUAGUGGUAAAAUAUUUUAAUCCCCAUUGGACUCACAGUCGCGAAGGCGUCUUACGAGAACGGCUCUGACAGUGAGGGAUGAAGGCUAGGGGCGCAAAAGGGAUUAGAUACCCCUGUAGUCCUAGCAGUAAACACUGCGCACUAAACAUCAGUACCUCCUCGAGAGGCAUUGGUGCUGUAGCGAAGGCGAAGAGUGCGCUACCUGGGAAGUAUAGUCGCAAGGCCGAAACU